GGCUGGUCCAAGUGCAGUGGUGUUUACAACUAAUUGAUCACAACCAGUUACAGAUUUCUUUGUUCCUUCUCCACUCCCAUUGCUUCACUUGACUAGUUAAAA
RNAcentral lists this Y RNA (102 nucleotides) under Cebus imitator (Panamanian white-faced capuchin). Its description in RNAcentral is "Y RNA (ENSCCAG00000012605.1)". It matches the Rfam family "Y RNA". Rfam says of the family: Y RNAs are components of the Ro ribonucleoprotein particle (Ro RNP), in association with Ro60 and La proteins. The Y RNAs and Ro60 and La proteins are well conserved, but the function of the Ro RNP is not known. The record is from RNAcentral. Lineage: Eukaryota; Metazoa; Chordata; Mammalia; Primates; Cebidae.